Molecule: ribosomal RNA, 374 nt
Filed under: uncultured bacterium
Lineage: Bacteria
Description: bacterial SSU rRNA
Rfam family: Bacterial small subunit ribosomal RNA
Source: RNAcentral
GUAGGGUCCAAGCGUUGUCCGGAUUUACUGGGCGUAAAGAGCGCGUAGGCGGCUCGUUAAGUGUGGUGUGAAAUCUCCAGGGCUCAACCCGGAAACUGCACCGCAUACUGGCGAGCUUGAGGAAUGCAGAGGCAGCUGGAAUUCCUGGUGUAGCGGUGAAAUGCGUUGAUAUCAGGAGGAACACCCAUGGCGAAGGCAGGCUGCUGGGCAUUAUCUGACGCUGAGGCGCGAAAGCGUGGGUAGCAAACAGGAUUAGAUACCCUGGUAGUCCACGCCCUAAACGAUGGAUACUAGACGUAAGAGGUAUCGACCCCUCUUGUGUCGCAGCUAACGCACUAAGUAUCCCGCCUGGGGAGUACGGCCGCAAGGUUGAA